RNAcentral lists this ribosomal RNA (305 nucleotides) under uncultured bacterium. RNAcentral describes it as "bacterial SSU rRNA". It matches the Rfam family "Bacterial small subunit ribosomal RNA", at positions 337 to 660 of the family's 1533-position model. The record is from RNAcentral.
ACCUACGGGGGGCAGCAGUGGGGAAUAUUGCACAAUGGGGGAAACCCUGAUGCAGCGACGCCGCGUGAGUGAAGAAGUAUUUCGGUACGUAAAGCUCUAUCAGCAGGGAAGAAAAUGACGGUACCUGACUAAGAAGCCCCGGCUAACUACGUGCCAGCAGCCGCGGUAAUACGUAGGGGGCAAGCGUUAUCCGGAUUUAUUGGGCGUAAAGCGUGCGUAGGCGGCUUGUUAAGUCCAGAAUUAAAGCCCGAGGCUUAACCUCGGUUCGUUCUGGAUACUGGCAAGCUUGAGUAUGGUAGAGGCAA